CUGGGAAGUGGCGCCGAG
RNAcentral lists this unclassified non-coding RNA (18 nucleotides) under Chlamydomonas reinhardtii. RNAcentral describes it as "small RNA Cre_1500". The record is from RNAcentral. Lineage: Eukaryota; Viridiplantae; Chlorophyta; Chlorophyceae; Chlamydomonadales; Chlamydomonadaceae.